CUUGCUGACAUGGUUCGUGUUGCCUCUGUUCGACAUUCCCAGGAUUCAACCAAAUGCAAGUUAGAAGAGUAAAAGGAGACAACAGGCAAGUUAUAGUAACUAUUUGUGCAUACACCAUACAUUUUAUAGGAUUGAACCUAGCUUUGGAACAUCGAAACUGUUUGCAACCUAGUUCCACCACUGAAUGUAUUUUUCUAUAUCUUUCAAGAGGAUUGAACCUAGCUUUGUUAAUACACCAUACAUUUUAUAGGAUUGAACCUAGCUUUGGAACUUUGAAACUGUUUGCAACCUAGUUCCACCACUGAAUGUAUUCUCUGUAUCUUUCAAGAGGUGUUGAAUGAAAGCCACUACCAAUAGACAAAAUGUUGAAGGAAGCCAAUACAAGAUUUUCUUUGGCUGCA
RNAcentral lists this long non-coding RNA (401 nucleotides) under Vitis vinifera (wine grape). RNAcentral's name for it is "long non-coding RNA (VVIN_LNC006682)". Lineage: Eukaryota; Viridiplantae; Streptophyta; Magnoliopsida; Vitales; Vitaceae. The record is from RNAcentral.